AUGGAGGUGGCCGCGGGAGCAGUCGUAGGGGCAUUAGUCGGUAAGCUGAUCAAGCAUGCCAUAGCUACAGAGGAAAAGGUGGUGACCGGACGCGGGCAACCGGACCACCAAGCGCGAAAGCGGCCGGAGGAGAUGUCGCUCAACAGUUACGCGCUCCUUCAGGCGUACGUUUUGAUGGCGGUAACGGGGUUAGGCUACUUGGCGCUCACAUGGUCAACGGUAGUUCUCCUGGGCGGCUUCGUCACCUCGCUGGGGAAGAAGGAUUUUUGGUGCCUCACAAGCAUCAGCAUGGUACAGGCAGCCAGGUGA
This 309-nucleotide ribosomal RNA is filed under the name Triticum aestivum (bread wheat). RNAcentral describes it as "partial small subunit ribosomal RNA". Lineage: Eukaryota; Viridiplantae; Streptophyta; Magnoliopsida; Poales; Poaceae. The record is from RNAcentral.